RNAcentral lists this transfer RNA (72 nucleotides) under Sphaerodactylus townsendi. Its description in RNAcentral is "tRNA-Ser". It matches the Rfam family "tRNA". From Rfam's summary of the family: Transfer RNA (tRNA) molecules are approximately 80 nucleotides in length. The record is from RNAcentral. Lineage: Eukaryota; Metazoa; Chordata; Lepidosauria; Squamata; Sphaerodactylidae.
UUCCAUGGCAUAGUAGUUUAAGUGUUUGCCUGCUGAGCCAAAGGGUUGCUGGUUCAAUUCCAGCCAGGGAAA